GUCUACGACCAUGCCACCCUGAACAUGCCCAAACCCGUCUGACCUUGGAACCUAAGCAGGGUCGGGCCUGGUUGGUACUUGGAUGGGAGACCACCUAGGAAGACCAGGCGCUGUAGGCG
RNAcentral lists this ribosomal RNA (119 nucleotides) under Pteropus alecto (black flying fox). The record is from RNAcentral. Lineage: Eukaryota; Metazoa; Chordata; Mammalia; Chiroptera; Pteropodidae.